This 497-nucleotide ribosomal RNA is filed under the name uncultured bacterium. RNAcentral describes it as "partial 16S ribosomal RNA". It matches the Rfam family "Bacterial small subunit ribosomal RNA", at positions 28 to 507 of the family's 1533-position model. The record is from RNAcentral.
GAUGAACGCUGGCGGCGUGCCUAAUACAUGCAAGUCGAGCGAACGGACGAUACGCUUGCUUUUCUGUUGUUAGCGGCGGACGGGUGUGUAACACGUGUAUCACCUCCCUAUAUGACUGGUAUCUCUUCGGGAAACCGGAUCUUAUACCGUAUAAUCUUUUGCACCACAUUGUUCAAAAGUGAAAGACGGUCUUUCUGUCACUUCUCGCUGCAUCCCGGCUGCAUUAGCUAGUUGUUAAGGUAACGGCUUACCAAGGCAACGAUGCAUAGCCGACCUGACGGGGUGAUCGGCCACAUGGGAGCUGGAACACGGUCCAGACGCCUAAGGGAGGCAGCAGUAGGGAAUCUUCCGCAAUGGGCGAAAGCCUGACGGAGCAACGCCGCGUGAGUGAUGAAGGUCUUCGGAUCGUAAAACUCUGUUAUUAGGGAAGAACAGAUGUGUAAGUAACUGUGCACAUCGUGACGGUACCUAAUCAGAAAGCCACGGCUAACUACGUG